Molecule: unclassified non-coding RNA, 377 nt
Filed under: uncultured Oligoflexaceae bacterium
Lineage: Bacteria; Pseudomonadati; Bdellovibrionota; Oligoflexia; Oligoflexales; Oligoflexaceae
Description: contains 16S-23S intergenic spacer region
Source: RNAcentral
UCCGGUUUAACACCGGCAGUCUCCUCAGAGUCCCCAACUUAAUGCUGGUAACUAAGGACAAGGGUUGCGCUCGUUAUCGGACUUAACCGGACAUCUUACGACACGAGCUGACGACAGCCAUGCAGCACCUAUCACCAAGUCCCCGAAGGGAAGACCGCAUCUCUGCGGCUGUCCUGGGAUGUUAAGGGUAGGUAAGGUUCUGCGCGUUGCUUCGAAUUAAACCACAUACUCCACCGCUUGUGCGGGCCCCCGUCAAUUCCUUUGAGUUUUAGCCUUGCGACCGUACUCCCCAGGCGGGAUACUUAAUGCGUUAGCUCCGGCACGGAGGGAGUCGACACCCCCCACACCUAGUGACCAUCGUUUACGGCGUGGACUAC